Molecule: long non-coding RNA, 1446 nt
Filed under: Nicotiana benthamiana
Lineage: Eukaryota; Viridiplantae; Streptophyta; Magnoliopsida; Solanales; Solanaceae
Description: long non-coding RNA (NBEN_LNC012776)
Source: RNAcentral
CUAUAUCUCUUUCUUCUUCCUCUUUCUUCUUACUGUCUCAUUCGUUAAGCUUAUUCGAUCAAAAGACUCGUGUUUCCUUCUAGUAUGACGCCAUAACUUAAUUGUUUAGGUGUAUACUAAGAGGAAACUUGAGUUUCGGGGUCGGACAGUCGUUGGUUGAUAUCCCCUGCAUCUUCUCGUGGCUCGAAUAAUGUCAAAUACCCUCGAUUGGUAUGAACCUUACUUCCUUUUUAUUUUCUCUGAUUUUUCGCUUUUGCAAUUAGUAUUAGUUUUAAAGGUCUAAUUUCUAUUAAUGUUGUUGUUAUUUAUGUGCAAUUGGGUAUUAGUUUAAUUACAUGUUACUUUAUAAAUGUGAAUUCCAGUUCUUUGACCUAGCCGAUCAAGUAGUUCGUUAUUGCAUGUUAGUUCUGAUUUUCUAUUCUUCGACCUAGCCGGCCGACUAUUUUGUAUGAAUUUGAUUAAGUUUGAACAUUCAGUUCUUCGACCUAGCCAAUCGACCUUUUUGUUUGUUUAUUCGUUAGUUCUGAUUUUUGAUUCUUCGACCUAGUCGGUCGAUAGUUUUGUAUAGAGUUGUUAAGCUUAAAUUUUCAGUUUUUAGACCUAGUCGGUCCAAUAGCUAAGUCUUUAUGUUUAUUUCAUUAAAAGAAACAAAAGAUUACUUCAAUUAUUUAUAUAGUUAGUCGUAUAUUUAGUUGUUAUUAAUCGUGAUAGUUUAAUGAUGUUCGCUUAAUUUUGUUUCAAGCAAUAAUUUGUGAAAUUCAGUUGUUGUUCCAUGUUAGUUUGCACAAAUCGGAUUCAUUCUAAUCUAGUUUGUUUGAAUACUAAGUUCACGUGUAUAAGUUGAAUUUCAGUCAUGAAUAGAUAAAAGCUGAAUACUUGAGUUUAAAGUACAUAUUUGUUGGAUAUUUUACUGUUUAAACAUGCUGGAAAUCACAACUGCUCUGUUUUGUGUCAGAAUUUGGUGAAAAGUGGAUUGUUUUGGCACCAAAAGUUAGUCCCUUUGGAUAGAUUUUUGGUGAACCAAAAUCUGUCCAAAAGGACCUUUUUCCCUACUUAAAGGGAUCAUUCUUUCAUAUUGAAAAACAUGGGGCAGGAUACAUAGCUUCUGAAAUAUCUUUUACCCUCAAGAAUACACAAAGCUCAAGAGCAAAAAUUAACAGCUGAAUGUCUAAUACUAAGCUGAAACUUGAGAGUUCUGGAGUGAGUUUUCUGAGAGAAAAUAAAGCUAGUUUCUAUUUCUUCUUAAAAGUUGCUGAGUUUUAAGUUUUGUUCUGGUUCGUUUUGGAUUCAACUUACUACUGUUUUUGCUACUGUUUAUUCUGUCACUGCUGCUACAUUUUCGCUAUUGCUGUAUUUCUUCUCUUUAGGUAACCUUCCAACCACUUGUAACACAUGUUCUUUUAUUUAAUAAAAGAUGAUGAAAAUAUGUGCCCGUUUAUCUUAUUU